UACAGAGGUCCCAAGCGUUGUUCGGAUUCACUGGGCGUAAAGGGGGCGUAGGUGGCGAGGUAAGUCGGAUGUGAAAGCUCGGAGCCCAACCCCGAAAUGGCAUUGGAAACUACCUUGCUCGAGGGUUGGAGGGGGGACUGGAAUGCUUGGUGUAGCAGUGAAAUGCGUAGAUAUCAAGCGGAACAUCAGUGGCGAAGGCGAGUCCCUGGACAACUCCUGACACUGAGGCACGAAAGCUAGGGGAGCAAGCAGG
RNAcentral lists this ribosomal RNA (253 nucleotides) under uncultured bacterium. RNAcentral's name for it is "partial 16S ribosomal RNA". It matches the Rfam family "Bacterial small subunit ribosomal RNA", at positions 524 to 776 of the family's 1533-position model. The record is from RNAcentral.